AAAUCCGUCGACUUUAUAAAUCGUGAGGGUUCAAGUUUCUCUAUCCCCA
This 49-nucleotide transfer RNA is filed under the name Calligonum colubrinum. Its description in RNAcentral is "partial tRNA-Leu". Lineage: Eukaryota; Viridiplantae; Streptophyta; Magnoliopsida; Caryophyllales; Polygonaceae. The record is from RNAcentral.